GACGAACGCUGGCGGCGUGCUUAACACAUGCAAGUCGAACGGAAAGGCCCUGCUUUUGUGGGGUGCUCGAGUGGCGAACGGGUGAGUAACACGGGAGUAACCUGCGCUUGACUUUGGGAUAACUUCAGGAAACUGGGGCUACUACCGGAUAGGAGCUCCUGCUGCAUGGUGGGGGUUGGAAAGUUUCGGCGGUGGGGGGUGGACGCGCGGCUUAUCAGCUUGUUGGUGGGGUAGUGGCUUACCAAGGCUUUGACGGGUAGCCGGCCUGAGAGGUUGACCGGCCACAAUGGGACUGAGAUACGGCCCAGACGCCUACGGGAGACAGCAGUGGGGAAUAUUGCACAAUGGGCGGAAGUCUGAUGCAGCAACGCCGCGUGCGUGAUGACGGCCUUCGGGUUGUAAACCGCUUUCGCCUGUGACGAAGCGUGAGUGACGGUAAUGGGUAAAGAAGCACCGGCUAACUACGUG
Molecule: ribosomal RNA, 468 nt
Filed under: uncultured bacterium
Lineage: Bacteria
Description: partial 16S ribosomal RNA
Rfam family: Bacterial small subunit ribosomal RNA
Source: RNAcentral